RNAcentral lists this ribosomal RNA (253 nucleotides) under uncultured bacterium. Its description in RNAcentral is "partial 16S ribosomal RNA". It matches the Rfam family "Bacterial small subunit ribosomal RNA", at positions 524 to 777 of the family's 1533-position model. The record is from RNAcentral.
UACGGGGGGAGCAAGCGUUGUUCGGAUUUACUGGGCGUAAAGGGCGCGUAGGCGGCCACCGCAAGUCAGUUGUGAAAUCUCUGGGCUUAACCCAGAAAGGUCAACUGAUACUGCGGGGCUAGAGUGCAGAAGGGGCAACUGGAAUUCUCGGUGUAGCGGUGAAAUGCGUAGAUAUCGAGAGGAACACCUGCGGCGAAGGCGGGUUGCUGGGCUGAUACUGACGCUGAGGCGCGAAGCCAGGGAGCGAACGGGA